RNAcentral lists this ribosomal RNA (587 nucleotides) under uncultured bacterium. RNAcentral's name for it is "bacterial SSU rRNA". It matches the Rfam family "Bacterial small subunit ribosomal RNA", at positions 338 to 917 of the family's 1533-position model. The record is from RNAcentral.
CCUACGGGAGGCAGCAGUGGGGAAUAUUGGACAAUGGGGGCAACCCUGAUCCAGCCAUGCCGCGUGUGUGAAGAAGGCCCUCGGGUUGUAAAGCACUUUCAGCGAGGAAGAACGCCUAGCGGUUAAUACCCGCUAGGAAAGACAUCACUCGCAGAAGAAGCACCGGCUAACUCCGUGCCAGCAGCCGCGGUAAUACGGAGGGUGCAAGCGUUAAUCGGAAUUACUGGGCGUAAAGCGCGCGUAGGUGGCUUGAUAAGCCGGUUGUGAAAGCCCCGGGCUCAACCUGGGAACGGCAUCCGGAACUGUCAAGCUAGAGUGCAGGAGAGGAAGGUAGAAUUCCCGGUGUAGCGGUGAAAUGCGUAGAGAUCGGGAGGAAUACCAGUGGCGAAGGCGGCCUUCUGGACUGACACUGACACUGAGGUGCGAAAGCGUGGGUAGCAAACAGGAUUAGAUACCCUGAUAGUCCACGCCGUCAACGAUGUCGACCAGCCGUUGGGUGCCUAGCGCACUUUGUGGCGAAGUUAACGCGAUAAGUCGACCGCCUGGGGAGUACGGCCGCAAGGUUAAAACUCAAAUGAAUUGACGGA